CCUACGGGUGGCAGCAGUGAGGAAUAUUGGUCAAUGGGCGAGAGCCUGAACCAGCCAAGUAGCGUGAAGGAUGAAGGCUCUAUGGGUCGUAAACUUCUUUUAUAUGGGAAUAAAGUUUUCCACGUGUGGAAUUUUGUAUGUACCAUAUGAAUAAGGAUCGGCUAACUCCGUGCCAGCAGCCGCGGUAAUACGGAGGAUCCGAGCGUUAUCCGGAUUUAUUGGGUUUAAAGGGAGCGUAGGUGGAUUGUUAAGUCAGUUGUGAAAGUUUGCGGCUCAACCGUAAAAUUGCAGUUGAAACUGGCAGUCUUGAGUACAGUAGAGGUGGGCGGAAUUCGUGGUGUAGCGGUGAAAUGCUUAGAUAUCACGAAGAACUCCGAUUGCGAAGGCAGCUCACUAGACUGUUACUGACACUGAUGCUCGAAAGUGUGGGUAUCAAACAG
This 440-nucleotide ribosomal RNA is filed under the name uncultured bacterium. Its description in RNAcentral is "bacterial SSU rRNA". It matches the Rfam family "Bacterial small subunit ribosomal RNA", at positions 338 to 775 of the family's 1533-position model. The record is from RNAcentral.